This 53-nucleotide ribosomal RNA is filed under the name Lasiodiplodia theobromae. Its description in RNAcentral is "partial 28S ribosomal RNA". The record is from RNAcentral. RNAcentral also lists the same sequence under 6 other names. Lineage: Eukaryota; Fungi; Ascomycota; Dothideomycetes; Botryosphaeriales; Botryosphaeriaceae.
UGACCUCGGAUCAGGUAGGGAUACCCGCUGAACUUAAGCAUAUCAAUAAGCGG